This 1470-nucleotide unclassified non-coding RNA is filed under the name Hevea brasiliensis (rubber tree). Lineage: Eukaryota; Viridiplantae; Streptophyta; Magnoliopsida; Malpighiales; Euphorbiaceae. The record is from RNAcentral.
AGAGAGAGAGAGAGAGAGAGAGAAUGGAGUCACCAGGGCAGUGGCUGGAAAAUGCUCUGGUAGAUUUGUGCAAGAGAAUAGAGACGGAUUUGGAUUUGGAUAGGGAAAUAAUCUCCGGCUUAGUCUCUUACUGCGAGCUCGCUCAGCCCCUUGAUGCCAAAGAGUAUCUUGAUAAUAUCAUUGGGCAGGAAGCAGGCAAAAGCGUGAUUGAGGAAUAUUUACGUCGUCGAGGUCAUUCAGAUGUUGGCAGCAGCACACCAGCUGUCCAAACCUCAAAAUUUCAUGCUUAUGUCAAACCAUCAACAAACAAUGGUUCUGAAAGUGGAACCAAGAAACCAGGUAGAUCACCUAAAGAUGUUGCUGUCUCUGGUUAUCAGAAUGAACCGAGGAAAGUUUCAGUUCCCAGUUAUCAGGCAGAACAAAAGAAGAACGCUAUUUCCAUUUAUCAAGAACCUAAGGUUUCAACCGAGGCAAGUGAGUCAAGCCAGAAGGGGAUCCAAGGUCAUUCUAGGAAGAAAAAAGCUGGGAAAGUCAUUUCGCUUGCAGAGGCUGCUAAGGGGUCAAUUGUGUUCCAACAGGGGAAACCAUGUUCAUGCCAAGCUCGUCGACACAGACUGAUAAGCAAUUGUUUAUCUUGUGGCAAGAUAGUUUGUGAACAAGAAGGAGAGGGGCCUUGCAGCUUCUGUGGUGCCCUUGUUCUAAAGGAGGGGAGCACCUAUGCUGGUCUUGAAGGAAAUUUGGCUCCCCUAUCAGAUGCUGAAGCAGUAGCUGAAGCUUAUGCAAGAAGGCUUGUUGAGUAUGACCGAAACUCUGCAGCACGUACAACUGUUAUUGAUGACCAAAGUGAUUACUAUGAGAUUGAGGGCAACAGUUGGCUGUCAAAAGAGGAAAAGGAACUUUUAAGGAAGAAACAACAGGCGAUAGAAGAAGCUGAAACAGCGAAGCGAAAUAAAGUAGUUGUGACUUUUGAUUUAGUUGGGCGCAAGGUCUUGGUAAAUCAAGAUGAAGUUUCAGAACAAGAGUCAGAGAACAGAAUAUUGCGGCCACCAGAUGAAAGAGACAGAGAAAUGAACCGAAUUAAACCAAAUCCGACUCUUACAAUACAACCAAUCUUCAUGGAUCCUGGCCCUAGCACAAAGCCUAUGAAGGGUAAGGAGCGAGACAAGGUCCUUCCAAAUAGUUUAUGCUUGGAAGUCACUGGGAGGGUACAGCAUGAUAGCAAUCAAUUGAAAUAUUUUAUGAUGGACACGUGACAACCAGUUAUAAACAGAAAAUGUGCGGCAUUGACCAGGUCCAUUAGUGAAUAGAGGUAUGCUUAUGGAAAGUGAAAACGAAUAUUCUCUGGAUGGCCAUUGAAGUCAAGGUUCAGCUUUUGUUUCUCUGCAAAAAUCUCUUGCUUGCUAAGGGUUUUAUAACUUUUGUUUCACUAGCAGGUAGGAGCACUGCAAAUUGAAGUUGUAUUUACCAUCG